Molecule: ribosomal RNA, 468 nt
Filed under: uncultured bacterium
Lineage: Bacteria
Description: bacterial SSU rRNA
Rfam family: Bacterial small subunit ribosomal RNA
Source: RNAcentral
GACGAACGCUGGCGGCGUGCCUAAACAUGCAAGUCGAACGGAGGCUUCGGCCUCAGUGGCGAACGGCGGAGUAAUACAUAAGCAACGUGCCCUGAAGACUGGGAUAGCCCGGGGAAACCCGGAGUAAUACCGGAUGUGGCCACUCUUAGGAUCUAGGAGUGAUUAAAUGGUUUUUCGCUUCAGGAGCGGCUUAUGGCCUAUCAGCUAGUUGGUGAGGUAACGGCUCACCAAGGCGACGACGGGUAGCGGGUCUGAGAGGACGAUCCGCCCGAGUGGGACUGAGACACGGCCCACACACCUACGGGUGGCAGCAGUUGGGAAUCUUGCACAAUGGGGGAAACCCUGAUGCAGCGACGCCGCGUGGAGGAUGAAGGAUCUAGGUCUGUAAACUCCUUUUAUCGGGAAAGACUUAGGACGGUACCCGAUGAAUAAGCACCGGCUAACUACGUGCCAGCAGCCGCGGUAAUU